GCCUGGUUGGCUCAGUUAGUAGAGCAUGUGACUCCCUAUCUCAGGGUUGUAAGUUCAAGUCUCAUGUUGGGUA
This 73-nucleotide transfer RNA is filed under the name Canis lupus familiaris (dog). It matches the Rfam family "tRNA". Rfam says of the family: Transfer RNA (tRNA) molecules are approximately 80 nucleotides in length. Their secondary structure includes four short double-helical elements and three loops (D, anti-codon, and T loops). The record is from Rfam by way of RNAcentral. Lineage: Eukaryota; Metazoa; Chordata; Mammalia; Carnivora; Canidae. RNAcentral also lists the same sequence under 1 other name.